Molecule: small nuclear RNA, 107 nt
Organism: Loxodonta africana (African savanna elephant)
Lineage: Eukaryota; Metazoa; Chordata; Mammalia; Proboscidea; Elephantidae
Source: Ensembl
GUGCUUGCUUCGACAGCACAUAUUCUAAAACUGGAACAACACAGAGAAGAUUAGCAUGGCCCCUGCACAAAAAUGAGACACAAAUUCAUAUCUUAGAUAAUGGUGAU